UUAUGUAUAAUUGGUGUGCACCCAAACAAGCCAGUCGUUGUCUUCACCUCUCUGCCUUUGCCAGGGGAUCCUGAGGGGGAUACGAGCGAUUAAAGGACCGGAAUACAAACAUUCUUUGGCAUACAAUUAUGUUUUAGAUCAAUUCUGUAAAAAACAGAUCACUGGGGAGAGAUAUUGUCUUGCUCAGGAGGAGGCCCUCUAUGCUUCGCACAGCUACCUCUGUCUGCUCAUCUCCACACGGCAACACAUGGCUCUCUACGACAUCUACCAUGGGAAAGGGCAGCAUGACACAGAGGAGAUGGCAGGAAUUGUGGGACUCAGGCUGCCCGCCCAGCCUGGGGGAAGGGCUGGGAGAAGUGAAGGAAGGGAGAAGACUCUCAUACCACACCAGAGGGUUGUAAAAUCAUCACGCUGGACCUAAUGCUAUUUUGCUCUUUUAUAAAACAGAGGAAGAGAUGAAGGCUGCUAUGAACAAGGACUGUGAUUUGUUAUUAUACCAGGGAGGAUUAAAGCUAUUAGAAAUAUGAGAUUCACAGCUCUCCCUACCACCCCUCACUUUGUGUCUGUCUUGAGACAAUGGCUGUAAUUAAAAUAUUUGUAAAUAAUGGGACAACUUUUGCCAAUUAAAGUAUGAAUCACUUUUAUCAGGUCA
Molecule: RNA transcript, 652 nt
Organism: Oncorhynchus kisutch (coho salmon)
Lineage: Eukaryota; Metazoa; Chordata; Actinopteri; Salmoniformes; Salmonidae
Gene name: protein FMC1 homolog
Exons: 2
Source: RefSeq, a predicted model, not a curated record